GUUAGGUUAGGGGAAUGAAACGUCCAAGGUCCAGACCUGAGGUCUGAACCUGGUUGUGCACGGUCCAUCCGUCCACUGACCACUAAAGACCGAUCCAAGCCAGACCGAGUCCAUGAGUCAAUGCAAAAAAAUCCAAAAUGGGGCUAAAAUAUUUGUGGUUAUUUCCACUAGGUUUGCACAACGAAAUGGGUGUUAAGGUUAGGUGUUGUGUGGUGCAGUACAUCUUUGAAAAAACUCGACAUCUGUAUGGAUGGAGGAAAUCGUUCUAAACCCCCAAGAGAGUAAUCAGUAAUUUAAUUAUACACAACUCAACAUCGUUUUGGAUGGAGGAAUACGUUUCUGUGACUUCAAGAGAUCUCAACAUCGUCUGGAUGGAGAAAACAAUUUUUGGAACCUUCUAGAAAAUUUCUGUGGCUCUCUACAUCAUACACCACACUGAUGGAGGCCUUAAAGUGGACUGUUCAAGCCUUAUCGCGACGUUUCGGAAUUUAUUUUCCUUCUUCAGGCUAGCUCGAACACAAAAUGAAAGGUUCCAGUCACUCAGUCUUAUUUAUACUGUUUCUGAGGGGGGCGUGUCUGCACACACACACGUUCUAACACUCAAUAUCGGCACUUUUUGGUGCGUCAUGAUCCAUUUUGGUGUGAUUUACCA
Molecule: long non-coding RNA, 652 nt
Organism: Carassius gibelio (silver crucian carp)
Lineage: Eukaryota; Metazoa; Chordata; Actinopteri; Cypriniformes; Cyprinidae
Exons: 3
Source: RefSeq, a predicted model, not a curated record